GACGAACCGUGCGAACGUUGUUCGGAAUCACUGGGCUUAAAGGGCGCGUAGGCGGCUUGCCAAGUCAGGGGUGAAAUCCUGCAGCUCAACUGUAGAAGUGCCUUUGAUACUGGCGAGCUCGAGGGAGGUAGGGGUGCGCGGAACUUCUGGUGGAGCGGUGAAAUGCGUUGAUAUCAGAAGGAACGCCGGUGGCGAAAGCGGCGCACUGGAUCUCUACUGACGCUGAGGCGCGAAAGCUAGGGGAGCAAACGGG
RNAcentral lists this ribosomal RNA (253 nucleotides) under uncultured bacterium. RNAcentral's name for it is "partial 16S ribosomal RNA". It matches the Rfam family "Bacterial small subunit ribosomal RNA", at positions 524 to 776 of the family's 1533-position model. The record is from RNAcentral.